AUGGUCGACCCUUUUAUGGUCUUGGCCCUGGUUUGUGUUUUCGGGCCGUUUCUAUGUGGCUUGCUCUGCGCCUGCCCCUGCGCGAGUGCAAUCACGUCGCACCCGUUGCCCGGGCCGGCGCUGCCGCCGGCGGUCGUCGCCGCCACAAGUCCAAGUCCAAGCGACGCAUUGCCAGAGCCAGUUGUCGUGGAGAAGCCGCAGCUGAGGUACUUCCUGUACUCGGCGGCCGCCGCCACGGAGGAGGAUGGCGGAGUGAGGGGAGCGUCGGUGGUGGUGUGCGCGAUCUGCCUGGAGGCGCUGGUCGGCGGGGCGGAGUGCAGCGAGGUGCCGGCGUGCCGGCACGUGUUCCACCGGGGCUGCCUCGCGCUGUGGAUCGGGAGCAGCAACACCUGCCCGCUCUGCAGGAGGCCUGUCGUGCUGGGGUUAGAACCCCUCUCGGUAGCCGAGGAGAUGGUCUAG
RNAcentral lists this ribosomal RNA (459 nucleotides) under Triticum aestivum (bread wheat). RNAcentral describes it as "partial small subunit ribosomal RNA". Lineage: Eukaryota; Viridiplantae; Streptophyta; Magnoliopsida; Poales; Poaceae. The record is from RNAcentral.